Molecule: ribosomal RNA, 338 nt
Filed under: uncultured bacterium
Lineage: Bacteria
Description: bacterial SSU rRNA
Rfam family: Bacterial small subunit ribosomal RNA
Source: RNAcentral
GCUGGCGGCAUGCCUAACACAUGCAAGUCGAACGGAAACGAUGGAAGCUUGCUUCCGGCGUCGAGUGGCGGACGGGUGAGUAACACUUAGGAAUCUGCCCAGUAGUGGGGGACAACUCGAGGAAACUCGAGCUAAUACCGCAUACGCACUACGGUGGAAAGUGGGGGAUCGUCUCAAUAAGAGCCUUCGAGGCUCGAAGAACGAUUGUUCGUAAGAACCUUUAGGGUUUUUAUUGGGACGACCUCACGCUAUUGGAUGAGCCUAAGUCGGAUUAGCUUGUUGGUGAGGUAAAAGCUCACCAAGGCGACGAUCCGUAGCUGGUCUGAGAGGACGAUCAG